ACGCUUCUUUGAGAAGCGCCAGGACAUGGCGCCUUUCAAAGAGGCGCCAGAUAAAGUCUUGGCGCCUCUUUGAGAGGCGCCAGCUUGACCCUGGCGCCUCUUUGAGAGGCGCCAGCCUGACCG
Manihot esculenta (cassava) is the source of this 123-nucleotide small nucleolar RNA. The record is from RefSeq and is a predicted model, not a curated record. Lineage: Eukaryota; Viridiplantae; Streptophyta; Magnoliopsida; Malpighiales; Euphorbiaceae.